UUUUCAAAUAAACACGAUUUAUACAUUAUUGUUUCUUUAAUCUUUUAAAAUUCGAAUUAUUCGGAAAUGUUUUUCUUCCUCCGUUUGGAUGUUGAGAAUGUUUAAGGAGAAGAUGAUGUGCAUAAUCUCUCGACUCUGGCUCCGUUCUCUGAUGAUUUGCAAGAAUUCGUAAAUCACUAAGAUUCUCCUAUCUUCACAACCUCAUGACUUCCUCUUCGCAUGAUCAUUCUGACAAACUGAAGCUGAUGAACAUAAAAAAACUCGGAGUUUAGGGAUCACUCCUCGUCUCCUGCAACCGGACUU
Molecule: long non-coding RNA, 303 nt
Organism: Hibiscus syriacus
Lineage: Eukaryota; Viridiplantae; Streptophyta; Magnoliopsida; Malvales; Malvaceae
Exons: 4
Source: RefSeq, a predicted model, not a curated record